Molecule: ribosomal RNA, 324 nt
Filed under: uncultured eukaryote
Lineage: Eukaryota
Description: partial 18S ribosomal RNA
Rfam family: Eukaryotic small subunit ribosomal RNA
Source: RNAcentral
CCCUUAGAUGUUCUGGGCUGCACGCGCGCUACACUGAUGCGAUCAACAAGUUUUUCCUAUGUCGAUAGGCACGGGUAAUCUUUUGAACUCGCAUCGUGAUGGGGAUAGAUUAUUGUAAUUAUUAAUCUUCAACGAGGAAUUCCUAGUAGGUGCAAAUCAUCAGUUUGCAUCGAUUACGUCCCUGCCCUUUGUACACACCGCCCGUCGCUGCUACCGAUUGGUUGAUCUGGUGAAUUAUUCGGACUGCCGGCUGAAGGGGUUUCCUCAUCUGCCAGCGGAAAGUCUUGUUAACCCUAUCAACUAGAGGAAGCAGGAGUCGUAACA